CGCACUUGUUGAGUUUGGGAACUUUCAGAGGCUUGAACUUCUCACUUUGGACGCAGCGGAGCUCUCACCUCAUCAUCAUUAUCAUCAGAUUCAGGCGACGUGGAUGUAUGCUGACUUUUUCGUCUAGGACUAUGUUUUGCUUUGUCGAAGUUGAUGUGGAUUGUCUUCAGUGUUUUACGCGUUAGACGCACACAGCGCGCGCGAGUAAUAAAGAACAUAACUGUGAGGAUGUGGAUGCGCCUUUAAUGCAUAUACAGAUUCAUAUCUGAAGGAGAGUUAGUGUUUGUGGGGCUAUUGGGAUAUGGCACUAUUUAUGGACUUUAAAUGCUCUCUAAAGGGACACUCGCUGGUGCAGUGAAUGGAGAACAUCGCAGCUUUGCCAAGAUGGAUCAUCAGCCCAAAUCCCAUGGGACGCCACAGCAUGCUGUCAUCUGUUCAGAUGGAGUGACAUUAGUCUGUGAGCGCCAGAAAACGUGUUGUCGUGAUGGACGGCUGCCAGGAUCUUUCUACAGACGCUCACCUAUAUUCAGCGCAGUGUUUCUGUAACGCUUUUAACCCCGACUGCUCUGCAAGCUGUUCAAAAUGGUAAUGAUGUGAGAUCCCAAACCGCCGACUGAUUUAG
This 622-nucleotide long non-coding RNA is filed under the name Sinocyclocheilus grahami. RNAcentral's name for it is "lncRNA (ENSSGRG00000009500.1)". The record is from RNAcentral. Lineage: Eukaryota; Metazoa; Chordata; Actinopteri; Cypriniformes; Cyprinidae.